GGGUCUGUAGCUCAACUAGGUAGAGCACCGGUCUCCAAAACCGGCGGUUGGGGGUUCGAUUCCCUCCGGGCCCG
This 74-nucleotide transfer RNA is filed under the name Gemmatimonadota bacterium. RNAcentral's name for it is "Gemmatimonadetes bacterium (sponge metagenome) tRNA-Trp". It matches the Rfam family "tRNA". From Rfam's summary of the family: Transfer RNA (tRNA) molecules are approximately 80 nucleotides in length. Lineage: Bacteria; Pseudomonadati; Gemmatimonadota. The record is from RNAcentral.